GAUGAACGCUGGCGGCGUGCCUAAUACAUGCAAGUCGAGCGAACGGACGAGAAGCUUGCGUCUCUGAUGUUAGCGGCGGACGGGUGAGUAACACGUGGAUAACCUACCUAUAAGACUGGGAUAACUUCGGGAAACCGGAGCUAAUACCGGAUAAUAUUUUGAACCGCAUGGUUCAAAAGUGAAAGACGGUCUUGCUGUCACUUAUAGAUGGAUCCGCGCUGCAUUAGCUAGUUGGUAAGGUAACGGCUUACCAAGGCGACGAUGCGUAGCUGACCUGAGAGGAUGAUCAGCCACACUGGAACGGAGACAGGGUCCAGACUCCUACGGGAGGCAGCAGUGGGGAAUAUUGGACAAUGGGCGCAAGCCUGAUCCAGCCAUACCGCGUGGGUGAAGAAGGUCUUCGGGUUGUAAAGCCCUUUUGUUGGGAAAGAAAAGCAGCAGGUUAAUACCCCGCUGUUCUGACGGUACCGAAAGAAUAAGCACCGGCUAACUUCGUG
This 497-nucleotide ribosomal RNA is filed under the name uncultured bacterium. RNAcentral's name for it is "partial 16S ribosomal RNA". It matches the Rfam family "Bacterial small subunit ribosomal RNA", at positions 28 to 507 of the family's 1533-position model. The record is from RNAcentral.